This 28-nucleotide small RNA is filed under the name Bombyx mori (domestic silkworm). RNAcentral's name for it is "ovarian small RNA-22556". The record is from RNAcentral. Lineage: Eukaryota; Metazoa; Arthropoda; Insecta; Lepidoptera; Bombycidae.
UAGCUGUUGAGUCUCGUUCAGAAGUGAA